RNAcentral lists this ribosomal RNA (508 nucleotides) under uncultured bacterium. RNAcentral describes it as "partial 16S ribosomal RNA". It matches the Rfam family "Bacterial small subunit ribosomal RNA", at positions 30 to 523 of the family's 1533-position model. The record is from RNAcentral.
AUUGAACGCUGGCGGCAUGCCUUACACAUGAAAGUCGAACGGCAGCGGGGGAGAAGCUUGCUUUUCCUGCCGGCGAGUGGCGAACGGGUGAGUAAUACAUCGGAACGUGCCCUGUAGUGGGGGAUAACUAGUCGAAAGAUUAGCUAAUACCGCAUACGACCUGAGGGUGAAAGUGGGGGACCGCAAGGCCUCAUGCUAUAGGAGCGGCCGAUGUCUGAUUAGCUAGUUGGUGGGGUAAAGGCCUACCAAGGCGACGAUCAGUAGUUGGUCUGAGCGGACGAUCAGCCACACUGGGACUGAGACACGGCCCAGACUCCUACGGGAGGCAGCAGUGGGGAAUUUUGGACAAUGGGCGAAAGCCUGAUCCAGCAAUGCCGCGUGUGUGAAGAAGGCCUUCGGGUUGUAAAGCACUUUUGUCCGGAAAGAAAUGGCUCUGGUUAAUACCUGGGGUCGAUGACGGUACCGGAAGAAUAAGGACCGGCUAACUACGUGCCAGCCGCCGCAGUAA